AUGAUGAAGAUGAUGAUGCUUGAACCGCUCCAGGGGCCUCCAUCAGAAUGAUGCGUUCCUGGUCAUCGCAGCGGAUCGUUGUUCUUUGUUCUCUGUGUCUACGCCUUCUUCUACCUCAACCUGAGCACCGAGAUUAACCUGGAUCUGGACGUGGAUUAAUAAGAGAUGGGACGGUGUGCCGCCGACGUCUCGUCUCUACACUUCCUACACGAGGACGCAGUCUGUCAGCUUUUAUUUACACACUUCCGGUGACAAUGAAGUGCCUCUUCAGGAGAAAUGUGACAAUGCAUCAAUAACUCUUCAAGCUUUACAUGCAUGAGUGUAAGUUUGUUCUAUUCUGUCCCUGAGUCUACAUCUGAGUGUUUGCUUCCCUUUCACUAAGCAAGUCAGUGACCUCUCCCUCCAUCACACUUCUAUAACAUUCUGCUGCAAAAUCCACAUCCAGCGCAGAAAAUGAGCCUGAUUUUAUUUUUUAUUCUUUUCUCUGUUAAUCGUAUCCUGCGGAAUCACGUCCCACUGUUUUUCUCCACUAAUAGAAAAAUGUAAAUCUCCUCCUGAACCUCUCGUCACAUCGAGACAAACACUUGCCUCACAUUCUAUUGCACAAACCUCUCUUCCCGUAUAUCUGGAGAUCACAAAGUGUGAGAUUAGAAUCCACAAAGCCCUCGCCCUGAUUGAAUGUGUGUGCAGAAUACAGAACAACACAUUCUACCUGCCACACACACACACACACACACAAACACACAGAGACGUGCAGCACAUAGACAGACAUUCACAGGAUUAGCAUUACAAAUAUGAUCCUGUUCGUUCAUUUGAAUGGAAAUUACCGACAUGAAUGAAGAGUGAAUCAAGGUGAGCCUGUAUGUUUCUCAUGAGGAACACCUUGAUAACUUUCCUUUCUGUCAAAUGUAUGUAUUGUAUGAAGGUUUGUCAAAGCCUCUUUAUCAAUGCUCUUUGUGCACCAGUACCGCAAGGUGCAAUGACUGACCUUCCAUUAAGCCUCUCAGUCCAAGUGCUUUCACUAUUUCAGAGAUUCAUUGUUAGCAGGAGCUUUUAUUUUGUCUAUUUAUCUUUUUUUUUCUUUUCUUUUUUUUGGAAAUUGCAAAAUAUAUUCCAUGUUAUCACUUUCUAUUCCAUGUUUGUCCUCCGCACCCCAACUAUCAAUAGCAAUACUGUUGUCUAAAAAGGCAAGUCUUAGAUAUCGUUCUUAGAUAUGACUCUUUUAUAUAAGUGUAAUGCAUAAAAGGCCAAUACCAAAUACACAAGAGGCCUUGUGACUCUGACAUAUCAUCAACCCCCCCCCCACCCCACCCCACCACUGAGUCCCUUUUUUUAAAAACAAGUCUUGCGUCUGUGCCUGGCUGUGUUCUGUGGACGAGAUGAAAUGUGAGACUUAUUUUGAGCUUUCAGUUUCUGCCUCUUUUCUCCCAUGACCUCCCUAACCUCUAGUAAAACUACACGUCCAAGAAACCAUUAUGAUAAGCAUGCAUCCGUACCCUCACCAAGUGGCUUUUAUCUGGCCUUGAUACAUCCAAGACAUGCGUUACAAUAGAUAGCCCGACCUAACAGACCUUCAUACUUGACACCUGUUAUCUAAAAGGUCACCAUUACCAACUACGAGAGCUCUGACAUCCGCACAAUGGGAAGGAUCUGACAGCGCAACUUAUUUAUUCAGACCCACGUUUGGCAAGAUGAGAUGCAAGCUACUUUUCUUAAUAGUGCUUUUAUUGAAUUAGUAUGUGGACAUUUUACGGUUUGCUUUCUCGUUACGGGAUACUGUGGGAUAUAUUAUGAAUUGUCUUUCUGUGUGUGUUUUUGUUACAUGGUUUCAUGUAUCUCUUUGUAAGAAAAUAUAAAUGAUGCAUAAUGCGGGAGAAGAUUAAAGAACCUUUUCAGUUUUCAA
Long non-coding RNA from Cottoperca gobio, 1903 nucleotides. RefSeq lists it as uncharacterized. Lineage: Eukaryota; Metazoa; Chordata; Actinopteri; Perciformes; Bovichtidae. The record is from RefSeq and is a predicted model, not a curated record. The transcript has 2 exons.